Non-coding RNA from Phoenix dactylifera (date palm), 1800 nucleotides. The record is from RefSeq and is a predicted model, not a curated record. Lineage: Eukaryota; Viridiplantae; Streptophyta; Magnoliopsida; Arecales; Arecaceae.
UCUAACGGACCAUGCAUCGCCAACUUGAAGUCGAAGAGCUACAAAUGCCGAAACGUAAACGAAAAGCUAGAACCGCGGGCGGAAGGACUGCGGCGAGUCGGUAGACGGCAAGCGGCCCUUAACCCUUCCUGAUUUCUAGGAGGAUUAACGGGAUCUACCGAAGAGGGAGCGGGCGCCGCAGAUGGCGAAGAGGACGGCGGCGGCGGCGGCGGCGGCGCAGCCGGAUUCCCCACGUCGACGACGACCCUGACGGCUCCGACCGCCGUGGCGGUGGCCCUAUUCGCACUCAUGGUGCGCGUGAUGGUCUCGUUGGGGCGGGGGGAACGCCGCCCAAGUACGGCGACUACGAGGGGCAGUGGGACUGGAUACCCUCCACACCCCAGCCUCGGAGUGGAAGCUGCUGAUGAGGUGGAUAAAGAAGGAGGGUCAGCACCGUGGCUGCUCGCUAUGAUUUUGUUCACACCUUGUUUGAUCCUCAUCGAUCAUGGUCAUUUCCAGCCUUGGAUUAAUGCUGCUAUCCUGUCAAGGAAUGAGGUUGCUGCUUCUGCCCUCUUCAGUCUUGCAAUCAACCACAAACAGAUGAGCUUAUACUUUUGCACCAGCAUUUUCAGCCAUCUUCUGGGAAAAUGCCUUAGGCAUCAUGAUCCAAUUUUUGAGGUGAUGAAAGUAGGCUUUGUGGUCAUGGGAACAUUUGCACUUGUCUGGUGGCCUUAUCUAUAUUCUCUGGAAGCGGUGAUGGAGGUAAAAAUCCUUGUUCCUAUUUCUCUUCACAAUAUCAGUGAUUGAUGUAUCAUCUGGGUUAUCUUCUUGAUUGAUCAAGGUCUGAAAUCAUGUUUUGCAGUAGCUUCUUGAUUCGUUAUGUGAAUUAGUACAAUCAGCUUGUAUCUCAUCCUCGACUUUCUGUUUCAAACUCGUUGUUUUAACUGGCUAAUUUCAUGAGGUCCACUUUUUUCCUGUCUCUAGAAAUUGAAGUUAAAACUAGUCCUUUUCAUGAGCAUAAACCGGUUCUUUCAUGACUAGCUCCCCUUGAGAGAGGAAUAUAUGAGGAUUAUGUUGCCAACUUUUGGUGUGGCACCUCAAUUUUCAUAAGGUGGAAGAGACUUUUCACAAUACAGUCAAUGAAGUUUCUUAGUUUCGUCACCACUGUCUCAGCCUUCCUGCCCUGCUUUGUUGAGCAAGUAAAGGCUCCAAGUGAGGUGGUUUUCUUUAUGCUUUGCUUAAUAGUUCAUUUUCUUUCUACCUCUUCUCUUACCAAGGUAUGUUCCUCAAGCAUUGAUUUUUUUUAGCUUUCUCUAUAGUCAGUCACAUCUUGAUAUCAUGUUAAUGAAAGUUUUUGAUACUUAAUUUUCAUUUUGCGUGUUGGGAACUGAAAUAGUGCAUGAGAAGUCAAUUCUGCUGCCUAUUUUACCUGCAAGCCUUUUAGCACUACAAGAGCCUCUUCUUUGUCGUGAUCGUUUGAUAUUGCAAUACACUUCAGUUCUUGCUCUCGUUGGUUUUAUUUUCUACUCACCUGAUGGUAGAAGUGGGAUGAGAGCAUACAGUAUCUCUGUUACAAAGAGUGCACUUGUGACCUUGCCGAUGUUGUGCUCCUUUAUGCUUCAUGUCAUUUACUUAAGUCUGCAGCCGCGAGAAAACAAUGGAUGUUAUUGGACUGCUCUACUUGGACAGACAGAGGCAAAAGUUUCUUUGAUCCUGAAAUUUAAGCAAAAGUUAUAUGUAGCUGUUAUUUUUCACUAUGAAUGGACUCGAUCUUCUUUGAAAUGAUUGAAACUAAUAUGCAUGUGUUUGAUUUUAAAAGUU